This 380-nucleotide long non-coding RNA is filed under the name Durio zibethinus. RNAcentral describes it as "long non-coding RNA (DZIB_LNC000855)". Lineage: Eukaryota; Viridiplantae; Streptophyta; Magnoliopsida; Malvales; Malvaceae. The record is from RNAcentral.
UAAUAUCAAAAAUGACGAUAAGAUUACAAUUGCAAAAGCACAUAUAAUUCUAGUUUUCAUGGUGUUUCCAAAUUUGCAAGGAAAGGAAAAGGCUUUUUGUACAAAGCUCCAAAAUUCUUGCCUUCCCUGAUGAAGAGGUAAUCUAGAAUUGAACCAUGGCCUCAUGCUGCACACGCGCAGGCCCUCCGAUGACCAAACGGACAAGAACAUCACCGCUUCUGUCUGCAUUUGGACUACUUGAUUAGGCGGCAUAUAUAUCCACCACCCAAAUAAAGGCUAAACAACAUUAAAUUUCAAAAGUUAAUUUCAACUCAUCUUUCUCCUCUCAUAAUCUAAUUAUCAAGUAAACUAAUUUUUCAUUAACAGAUCUCGAAAUUGAC